Parus major (Great Tit) is the source of this 438-nucleotide long non-coding RNA. RefSeq lists it as uncharacterized. The transcript has 2 exons. The record is from RefSeq and is a predicted model, not a curated record. NCBI's taxonomy places the organism in Eukaryota, Metazoa, Chordata, Aves, Passeriformes, Paridae.
UGCUUGGCCAGCAGGUAUUAUUAGGUGCCCAAUCUGCAUGGAUUUUUACCCACAGAUCAUGCAAAGUGGACGACUGAUUUUGUCAACACUGUGUGGCCAUGUUUUCUGCAGUCAGUGCCUCCCUUUUGCCCUUCAGACUGCCAGCUUUUGCCCAACAUGCAGGACAGAUCUCACUCCACAACAAUACCAUCCCAUUUAUAUAUAAGUACUUGUAUUUUUCAAGGCAGUCUCAGAUGGAUUUUGAGGAAUAGGUGGUACAAAGACUUUUUUCUUUUUGUAUAUAGUUUUUGUUGUAUAAGGUUCCAUUUUCUCUGAAUUUAAUUAUAAAAAAUUUUUAAUUGAUUUAAAUAUAAACAAGUCUGCUCCUCUAUGUUGGAUUCCACUGGUAGACAGAUUUCUUUUAACAGAUACAAAUAAAACCCUUAGUUUUAUCAGUCA